Non-coding RNA from Salvia hispanica, 5587 nucleotides. Lineage: Eukaryota; Viridiplantae; Streptophyta; Magnoliopsida; Lamiales; Lamiaceae. The record is from RefSeq and is a predicted model, not a curated record.
CCACCAUCGUCUUUAUGUCGGACGCCGCGACCGACGCCCUCUUCUAUUUUUCAGCGGAUUUCAAUAUCAAUCUUCAAACUUUGAGCUCCAAUCAACUUUAUCACAUUGAUUAAGGCUGACUUUAUUAAGAGGAGGCACAAAAUAACCAUUUUCAGUUGAGCAAUUGCAGCCCACGAUUUUAAACUCUUGAUUUGCAACACCUUCAUAAAUCGGCAUUUCCAACUCCUCACGUUUCACCACCACCUACCACCUUUCCUACUCUAGCAGUAAUGGCGGCUUACGGUGCUGCGAUUUCUCUCAAGGAUACCAUUCAAACUAUUCUUCAUUCCUCUCGCAUUUCACUAGUUCCUCCAUCUCCACAAAUCUUACAGCCCGCCUACGAUGCCAUGGUUCGCUUGCAGAAAGUUCUGCUAAAAUUGGAGGAGACCGGCUACAGCAAGAUCAGGACGAAGGUGAAUGCUUUGGACGACCGAAUCAAAGAGGCCGUGUGGGAAUUCGAAGAUUUACUCGAAUCUCAUGUGUAUCAACAGAUUCUUCCACAACUCGAAGGUGAGAGAGAUCACUUGUCUUUCUAUGUAGAUCUGCAGAGUCUCCGACAGAGUGUUGAUUGCUUCAUCGAGAGGUUCCCAGCGAUGCAGGCGGAGUACGAUAUUGAACUGCUGAAUAUGCCUGAAGAAGAAGGGGAACCUGUUCCCUCAAGAAUUGAUUUUCAUGGAAUCGACUCAAACAUGGUUGGAUUAUCCAAAGAAUUUGAAGAGUUAAGGGAUUAUCUUCUUCAUGAAAAUAAUGAAGAGAACUACUUUGAAAUUUCAGGGAUGGCAGGAGUUGGAAAGACAGCAUUCGCUAAGAAAUUAUUUGACGAUCCAUCACUUAAGAGUCAUUUCGAGCUUCGAGUAUGGGUUAAAGUGGGCAGAAAAUGUGAAUAUAAUGAAAUAUUGCGAUGCAUUCUAGCUCAAGUGGAUCGCGAACAAAGCCUUACCCAAGGAGACGAAGAAAAUGAUAAGAAAUUAGUUGGACUCUUGGAAGAGAGGUUGAAGGAUAAGAAAUGUUUCAUUGUGUUGGAUGAUGUAUGGAAAUGGGACGCGCGAGUUAUGGAUAACUUGCCACAAGAUAAUGUCCGAAUCUUGUUAACAAGCAGGCAAUAUAUAGAAGAAUGCCAAAAGAGGGUUACACUACACUUGUUGAAUGAUGAAGAAAGUAAGAAAUUACUUGGCGAGAAGGUGUUUGAUGAAGAGGGUUUCCCUCCUCACCUUGAUGAAUUAGGAGAGAAGAUUGCUAAAAAAUGUGAAGGUCUUCCACUUAUGAUAGUCACAGUUGCAAAGCUCCUGUCCAAAGAAGAAACAACCAUAGAAAAUUGGACUGGGGUAGCUGAAAAACAACAUAAUUCAGUAUUCGUGGAUGCAUAUGAUCAAAUAUCAGAGGUACUUUUCCCAAGCUAUGACUACUUACCUCAACAUUUGAAGAUGUUAUUUCUGUAUUUGGGAGCUUACCCUCCAUAUACUGAUAUUCAACUACGCAUCAUUUUGAACCAGUUGAAAAUUGAGGGGUUUCUUGAGCCUUUUGGUAAACAAAUUAUGGAUGAUUUUAUGGACAUAGAAAAUUUUGAUGAUGUUUUGAUCGAUUUCAUGGUAGACCUUGCUACCCUGUACAAUCUUGUUCUAUUCGAUAGCAUAUUAGCUUCUUGGUUUUCAAAGCAAAUUUUUCGUGUGCAUUCUUGCUGGCAGCACUUUUGUAAGAAAGAAGCAACUAGGAUUAUGUUUUUGCAUGUUUUACAAAGCUACGAUGAUGUUGUGAAAGAUCAACGUCGGUUGUGUGCCCAUUCCAUCUCUUUAUUUUCCAUCAAAGAUUUGUGUGAAAAAAUAAAAAAAGAUUGUGCUUCCAAUGUACGUUCUCUCCUUUGUCUUGGUCCUUACCACAAAUAUGCGAUGCCAAUACAUGCAAUGGAUUUCAAGUUGCUCAAGGUACUGGAAGGUGGAAGUGUCCGAUUUUAUCAUUUCCCACUUGAAAUUUUCAAACAAAUUUGUCUAAAGUACCUUUCCCUAACCUACAACAAAGAGAUCCCAGAUUCUAUAUCCAACCUUUUUCACCUUCAAUUCUUGAUUAUCAAUCAACAUAUGAACAUUAAGAAACGUGGAGCUUUGUCAUGUAUGCCGGUGGAAGUAUGGGACAUGCAAGAACUACAACAUAUUGAGGUAUGGGGAAAAGACUUACCAACCCCAGAUUCUUUUGCUGCUGCAUUGGAUAGACUUUACACUCUUAUUGGUGUGAGUGAAAAGAGUUGCACAAGAGAAAUUCUCAAGAGAAUCCCUAAUUUGAAGAAAUUAGGAAUUUGGGUAGAAUUGCAGCCUUAUGAUGAAGAUGAUGAUAGAAACCCAUUGAGUAACAUGGGUUUUAUAUCAGAGGAACUCAAGUAUUUGAAAACACUUGCAUAUACCGUGAUGUAUCCGGAUAUUAUGCGUGAGUUUAUGGUUCCUCUUUCAAUGUUCCCAUCAAGCUUGACAAGGUUGGAGUUGAGUGGCUUAGGGUGGCCAUGGAAGUAUAUGAAUGACAUUGGUUCGUUGCUACCAAAUCUUACUGAUAUCAGUUUAUGUGACUAUGCCUUUCGAAGUCCCGAAUGGAUUAUAAAAGAAGGGAUUUUUUUGAAACUUGAGACAGCUAUAAUUGAGGACACUGAUUUGGUGCGAUGGAGAGCUCAGCAACGAAGUCUCCCAAGGCUCAAACUCCUAAGCAUACGCCAUUGCUACAAAUUACAACAACUCUAUUGGAAGCGUGAUCUCUCAAUGGUCACCACUACAAUUGAGUUAAUUGAGUGCAAUCCCUUAGCUGUCGCUUCUGCCAAGCAAUUAAGACCUGGAUAUUUCUUUAAAAUUCGUUCUCACUCUACUUUUUGAUACAAGAAGUCCUAUCUCAACUCUUUACUUGGUUAACAGGCAUAUUUGGUGAUUUUGGAUAGGCACAAGUGAGAGCGCAUGGCGUAGUGAAGAUUGGUCAUCUAUAGGAUUUUCACUGUGACUGAGUGAAAGUUACUUAUCGAAGAGCGCGCUACCUGCUCACAUGUGCCACGAGCGUGGUUACUGUUCUGCGGUUGGGAGGAAGUAUUUAAUAAGAAAAUAUUAUUAACGAUCAUGUUCUUCAAGUUUUCUAGCUUGAGGAAUGAAGAGCCUAUGACCUCUGCUUCAUUCUACUUAUCAGGAGGUUGAUCAACUUGAAAAAGAAUUUUUUUAGACUGAGGUAAGAUUCUUCUAAGCUCUGCCCUGUUAUACUUAUUUAGGGUUGUUGGUACUGAUCAAAUGUGUGUGCUAAUCAAUUCUGCCUAUUUGUUGGCUUAUUUGUAUUGGAAUUUACUUCCUUAUCUGCAUGUCUGUUAUGCUAUACUUUUUUGCUUUUUCCUCAUAAUAUAAUACUCCCUCCGUCUUCCAUAAUUUGUCACCAUUUGACCCGGCACGGAUUUUAAGAAAUGUAAUAGAAAGUAGGUUGAAAAAGUUGGUGGCAUGUGGGUCCACUACAAAAAAUAGUAAAAGUGAUAUUGAACCACACGUCAUCUUAAAAUUUGAAGAUGUUAUUUCUGUAUUUCGGAGCUUACCCUCUGUAUACUGAUAUUGAACCACACGUCAUCUUAAAUCGGUUGAGUACUGAGGGGUUUGUUGAAUCUUUUGGUAGACAAUUUUUGGAUGAUUUUAUGGAUGGAGACGCUUCUAAUUUUCAUUUGCACGAAUGGGUGGCAGUCCUCGCUACCGGUACAACCUCAUUCUAUUCAAUUUCACUCUCGAUUCUUGGUUUUCAAAGAAAAUGUUUCGUGUGCAUUCUUGCUGGCAGCACUUUUGUAAGAAAGAGGGAACUAGGAUUAAGUUUUUGCAUGUUUUACAAAGCAACGAUGAUGUUGUGAAAGAUCAACGUCGGUUGUGUGCCCAUUGCGUCUCUUUAUUUUCCUUCAAAGAAGUGUAUGAAAAGAUAAAAAAUGAUUGUGCAUCGAAUGUACGUUCUCUCCUUUGUGUUGGUCCUCGCCACAAAUAUGCGAUGCCAAUACAUGCAAUGGAUUUCAAGUUGCUCAAGGUAUUGGAUACUGGAAGUGUCCGAUUUUAUCAUUUUCCAGAAAUUUUCAAGCUAAUUUGUCUAAACUACCUUUCACUAACUUGCAAUAAAGAGAUCCCAGUAUCUAUAUUCGACCUUUUUCACCUUCAGUUCUUGAUUAUCUAUCAAUAUAUGAAUAUUAAAAAACGUGGAGUUUUGUCAUGUAUGCCAGUGGAAGUAUGGGGCAUGCAAGAACUACUACAUAUUGAGAUAUAGGGAAAAGAGCUACCUACCCCUGAUUCUUCUACUGCUGCAUUGGAUAGACUUGACACUCUUAAUGGUGUGAGUGAAAAGAGUUGCACAAGAGAAAAACUCAAGAGAAUCCCAAAUUUAAAGAGAUAAGGAAUUGUGGUAGAAUUGCAGCCUUAUGAUGAAGAUGAUGAUAGAAACCCAUAGAGUAACUUGGGUUAUAUAUCAGAGGAACUCCAAAGUUUGAACACACUUGCAUAUACUGUGAUGUAUCCAGAUAUUAAGCGUGAGUUUAUGGUUCCUCUAUCGAUGUUCCCAUCAAGUUUGACAACUUUGAAUUUGAGUGGCUUAGGGUGUCCAUGGGAGAACAUGAAUGUCAUAGGUUCGAUGCUACCAAAUCUCAUGUUCCUCACGUUAAAAGGCUAUGCCUUUCGAAGCGCCGAGUGGAAUAUAGAAGCACUUGAUACAGUUAUAAUUAAGGACACCGAUUUGGUGCGAUUGAUAGCUCAACAUGGAAGUCUACCAAGGCUCAAACUCCUAAGCAUACGCCAUUGCUACAAAUUACAACAAUUCAAUUGGUCGCGUGAUCCCUCAAUGGUCACCAUUGCAAUUGAGUUAGUUGAGUGCAACCCCUUAGCCGUCGUUUCUGCCAAGCAAUUAAAGCCUGAAUCUGUCUUUAAAAUUCGUUCUCACUCUUCUUUUUUAUACAAGAAGUCCUAGCUCAACUCUCAACUUGGUUAAGAGGUUAGUCUUCAUACUCCCUUUAAUUUGCACAAAACCACAUGAAUUCACUUCUUUCUUAACUAAAAUGCUUGUGCUUGUAAUUGUUUUUAUGUUAUAUUGUAUUGCAGAUAUGUGUUUAGGUUGUUGGCUGCUUUUUCUUCUACGAAUGGGAGUUUGAUCUCUAUAAUGGGGGAGGUUUAAAUCACGUAGCAUGUUUUGAAAAUAUAUAUCGCUCACAUGUUAUAUUAAUUAACUCUAAUUUAUCAGGAAGUGAGAGGGCAAAAGGGGUCAGAUAGCAAGGUAUGCUUCAUUUCAGUUGUAUUAGUAUUACCAUGUUGUUUCAUAAAUAUAAGCAUAUAUAGUGAUUUUUUGGAUUUGUUGAGGUUUUAUGGAAAAUACUAAAGACAACAGAGAUAUGUUUGAUUAUGUUUUCAUAUGUUGGUUUGCAUGUUGUAUAAAGCUCACUGAUAUACUCAUGUUUUCUUUUUUGUCCGUCCAUAAUUAACUGUCUCAUUAGCUUUUUACUACUCAUGGUAAUGGACUCCACAUUCCAUUUACUCGUCUCACUCACAUUCCAUUUACUCAUCUCAUUUUAUUAGUUAUA